CCUACGGGCGGCUGCAGUGGGGAAUAUUGGACAAUGGGGGCAACCCUGAUCCAGCCAUGCCGCGUGUGCGAAGAAGGCCCUCGGGUUGUAAAGCACUUUCAGUGAGGAAGAACGCCUGGUGGUUAAUACCCAUCAGGAAAGACAUCACUCACAGAAGAAGCACCGGCUAACUCCGUGCCAGCAGCCGCGGUAAUACGGAGGGUGCGAGCGUUAAUCGGAAUUACUGGGCGUAAAGCGCGCGUAGGUGGCUUGAUAAGCCGGUUGUGAAAGCCCCGGGCUCAACCUGGGAACGGCAUCCGGAACUGUCAAGCUAGAGUGCAGGAGAGGAAGGUAGAAUUCCCGGUGUAGCGGUGAAAUGCGUAGAGAUCGGGAGGAAUACCAGUGGCGAAGGCGGCCUUCUGGACUGACACUGACACUGAGGUGCGAAAGCGUGGGUAGCAAACAGGAUUAGAUACCCCAGUAGUC
Molecule: ribosomal RNA, 465 nt
Filed under: Vreelandella stevensii
Lineage: Bacteria; Pseudomonadati; Pseudomonadota; Gammaproteobacteria; Oceanospirillales; Halomonadaceae
Description: partial 16S ribosomal RNA
Rfam family: Bacterial small subunit ribosomal RNA
Source: RNAcentral